Molecule: non-coding RNA, 1182 nt
Filed under: Pan troglodytes (chimpanzee)
Lineage: Eukaryota; Metazoa; Chordata; Mammalia; Primates; Hominidae
Source: RNAcentral
AGACGCAGGGGACGUGUCAGACGUGCGACAGGAAGGGCUCAGCGAGGCGAGAGCGAAGCUGUGAGGAAGGAAGGCAGGGUAGAGACCAGAAUCGAGGAAGAUCAGAGUGGAAGAAAAUGGAGCUGGUGUCUCAGUGAAGACAUGCCCAGAGAUGCCCAAAGAUGCCCAAUGGAUGAGCUGCUGCAACCUGUCUCAGCCAUGGGGGAUGGGAGAGGAAAGUGGAGAAAGGACAAAAAAAAAAAAUGAGUAGAGAGAAAAGAAGUGAAUACGUAAUGCAAAAAUUAAAAUUACCUGAUAAGUCAGGACAUGGGAAGUUCUGCCUCCCUAAUGGGGACCCAGGAAGAUGUAGGAAGAGAAGUAAAGCCACUUUCUAAGGACACGGAGAAAUUCAGAACACCCAGGCCGCCCAGGUUUCCUGGCUCCCAGUCUUGGCACACAGUGCUCCACCUUGCUGGGGAAUUCAGCCACCUCUGAUGGGAGAAGCUCUUCAGUCUUCCAUCUGCCAGAGGCUAAGCUGCAGGAGGUACGUGGCCAUAAGAAACCCGUGACACCCUCCCCUGGAACUGUACCCACGUCCCACACGGACAGAUGCUUCACUCCUCCACUUCUUGGCAGUACUUCCUACAGCCUCUGGGUGAACUUCUCCAGCUGGCUGUGAUCGACCUCCAGAGGGCAUGACCGUGGCUGAGACUCAGCUUUUCAUGUUCCCAGCUCUGGCUUAGGGAGUCACCCCAAGGAAGCAGCAGAUUAAGGAGAAAUGUGGACGCAUCCUUCCUGAGUGUUGGUUCCCCCAGAGAGAUGACAGACCCCAUGGCCAGCACUUCAACAUAUUUUGAGCUGUGGGAAUUAGAAUCUAGGACAAUUUGGGAGAAAAAAGGCUUUUGUCUUUAAGGCGUUUACAGCUUAAGGAGAGGAUAUCAUAUUCCAUAGCUGUGACAAAUCAAAAAAUUAAAAGUAGUCUUUCCAAGGACGGUUUCAGUAGUUUAGCCCUAAGGAGUGAGGAAUUUGUUUGGUUAGACAUACUGAAGAUGGAGACUAUACUUCUGAGAAUAAGCCUAAAGCCUGUGAGUCUCGAAAGCCAAUUUACACACCACGCAGAAAACUGACGGGUCUCAGGAAAACUAAAAUGAGGAAAGCCAGCAGAGGCCCAGGCAGACGUCAAAUUAAUCUCUAGAAACAGAG